This 466-nucleotide ribosomal RNA is filed under the name uncultured bacterium. RNAcentral's name for it is "partial 16S ribosomal RNA". It matches the Rfam family "Bacterial small subunit ribosomal RNA", at positions 28 to 507 of the family's 1533-position model. The record is from RNAcentral.
GAUGAACGCUGGCGGCGUGCUUAACACAUGCAAGUCGAACGAUGAAGCCCAGCUUGCUGGGUGGAUUAGUGGCGAACGGGUGAGUAACACGUGAGUAACCUGCCCUUAACUCUGGGAUAAGCCUGGGAAACUGGGUCUAAUACCGGAUAGGAGCGCGUACCGCAUGGUGGGUGUUGGAAAGAUUUAUCGGUUUUGGAUGGACUCGCGGCCUAUCAGCUUGUUGGUGAGGUAAUGGCUCACCAAGGCGACGACGGGUAGCCGGCCUGAGAGGGUGACCGGCCACACUGGGACUGAGACACGGCCCAGACUCCUACGGGAGGCAGCAGUGGGGAAUAUUGCACAAUGGGCGAAAGCCUGAUGCAGCGACGCCGCGUGAGGGAUGACGGCCUUCGGGUUGUAAACCUCUUUCAGUAGGGAAGAAGCGAAAGUGACGGUACCUGCAGAAGAAGCACCGGCUAACUACGUG